UGAGGGAAAGGCGAAAAGAACCCCUGUGAGGGGAGUGAAAUAGAACCUGAAACCGUAUACGUACAAGCAGUGGGAGCGGUUCUUGAGACCGUGACUGCGUACCUUUUGUAUAAUGGGUCAGCGACUUACAUUUUGUAGCGAGGUUAAGCGAAUAGCGGAGCCGUAGGGAAACCGAGUGUUAACUGCGCGUUUAGUUGCAAGGUGUAGACCCGAAACCCGGUGAUCUAUCCAUGGGCAGGUUGAAGAUUGAGUAACAUCAAUUGGAGGACCGAACCGACUUAUGUUGAAAAAUGAGCGGAUGACUUGUGGAUGGGGGUGAAAGGCCAAUCAAACCGGGAGAUAUCUGGUUCUCCUCGAAAGCUAUUUAGGUAGCGCCUCGAGCGAAUACCAUUGGGGGUAGAGCACUGUUAAGGCUAGGGGGUCAUCCCGACUUACCAACCCUUUGCAAACUCCGAAUACCAAUGAGUACUACUCGGGAGACACACGGCGGGUGCUAACGUCCGUCGUGAAAAGGGAAACAACCCAGACCGUCAGCUAAGGUCCCAAAGUUAUUGCUAAGUGGGAAACGAUGUGGGAAGGCUUAGACAGCUAGGAUGUUGGCUUAGAAGCAGCCAUCAUUUAAAGAAAGCGUAAUAGCUCACUAGUCGAGUCGGCCUGCGCGGAAGAUUUAACGGGGCUAAGCAAUACACCGAAGCUACGGGUGUGCACUUUAGGGUGUACGCGGUAGAGGAGCGUUCUGUAAGCCGUUGAAGGUGAAGGGGUAACCCACGCUGGAGGUAUCAGAAGUGCGAAUGCUGACAUGAGUAACGAUAAAGGGAGUGAAAAACUCCCUCGCCGAAAGACCAAGGGUUCCUGUCCAAUGUUAAUCAGGGCAGGGUGAGUCGACCCCUAAGGCGAGGCCGAAAGGCGUAGUCGAUGGGAAAUGGGUUAAUAUUCCCAUACUUCUGCUAACUGCGAUGGAGAGACGGAGAAGGCUAGGCUAGCGCGGCGUUGGUAGUCCGCGUUUAAGGUGGUAGGCAGUAAACUUAGGCAAAUCCGGGUUUACGCAUUUAAUUGCAAUGCUGAGAGCUGAUGACGAGUCACUAAGGUGAUGAAGUAGUUGAUGCCAUGCUUCCAGGAAAAUCUUCUAAGCUUCAGGUUAGUAGGAAUCGUACCCCAAACCGACACAGGUGGUUGGGUAGAGAAUACCAAGGCGCUUGAGAGAACUCGGCUGAAGGAACUAGGCAAAAUGGUACCGUAACUUCGGGAGAAGGUACGCUCCCGACGGUGAUGAGACUUGCUCUCUAAGCUGUUGGGAGUCGCAGAUACCAGGUGGCUGCAACUGUUUAUCAAAAACACAGUACUGUGCAAACUCGCAAGAGGAAGUAUACGGUAUGACGCCUGCCCGGUGCCGGAAGGUUAAUUGAUUGGGUUAUCUUCGGAGAAGCUCAUGAUCGAAGCCCCGGUAAACGGCGGCCGUAACAAUAACGGUCCUAAGGUAGCGAAAUUCCUUGUCGGGUAAGUUCCGACCUGCACGAA
This 1518-nucleotide ribosomal RNA is filed under the name seawater metagenome. Its description in RNAcentral is "bacterial LSU rRNA". It matches the Rfam family "Bacterial large subunit ribosomal RNA", at positions 504 to 1996 of the family's 2925-position model. The record is from RNAcentral.